RNAcentral lists this ribosomal RNA (411 nucleotides) under Triticum aestivum (bread wheat). RNAcentral's name for it is "partial small subunit ribosomal RNA". Lineage: Eukaryota; Viridiplantae; Streptophyta; Magnoliopsida; Poales; Poaceae. The record is from RNAcentral.
AUGUUCUUGUCGCAAUCGGCGAGUCGCAUCAACAACAUCCGCACCUUCCUCAUCAAUGUGUAUAAGGGAAACCUCUCGGUGGCCUCCUACUUCGCCGCCAUGCAUGGCUAUGCCGAUGAGCUGGCCGCGGCGGGCAAGCCGAUCCAGGACGAUGAGCUCAUCUCGUACAUCAUCCAUGGGUUGGAGGCGGACUAUCAACCUAUGGUGUCGGCUCUCGACGCCCGAGUCACUCCUGUGACCCUCGACGAGCUCUUCGCCAUGCUGUCCAACUUCGACCAGCGCAUGGCCCAAUUCCAAGGAUCCGGCAGCUUCAAAUCGUCUGCAAACAUGGCGUCGCACGGUCGGGGUGGCGGAUCCCGGUCGCGUGGCCCUCCUCGCUACAAGGGGGCGAUCUGGCGGCGGCAGCAAUGA